This 212-nucleotide unclassified non-coding RNA is filed under the name Hevea brasiliensis (rubber tree). Lineage: Eukaryota; Viridiplantae; Streptophyta; Magnoliopsida; Malpighiales; Euphorbiaceae. The record is from RNAcentral.
CUAAAAGAUCUCUCAAUCGCAGAAUUUGGUAGAAUUGAGGUUGUUGGUCCUGAAUUCUAUGGAAAUUGCACAUCUAUGAAGAAUCCAUUUAGAUCCCUAAAAAUCCUGAAGUUUGAGAGGAUGCCAAAAUGGCAUAAAUGGAUUUCUUAUAUAGAAGAAGAUGAAAGUAGAGCUUUCCCUGUCCUCCAAGAGCUUUACAUAAGAGAAUGUCC